RNAcentral lists this ribosomal RNA (355 nucleotides) under Ocyptamus vierecki. RNAcentral describes it as "partial 12S ribosomal RNA". Lineage: Eukaryota; Metazoa; Arthropoda; Insecta; Diptera; Syrphidae. The record is from RNAcentral.
UUAAAAAGUAAAUAAAUUUAUUUGAGUAGUAUUAGUUAUGUUCUUGAAACUAAAAAAAUUUGGCGGUAUUUUAGUCUAUUCAGAGGAACUUGUUUUUUAAUCGAUAAUCCUCGUUGUACCUUACUUAAAAUUGUUAAUCAAUCUAUAUAUCGUUGUUAUUAGAAUAUUUUAUAAGAAUAAUAAUUUUCUAUAAUUUUUAUUAAAAUUAAUAUCAAAUCAAGGUGUAGUUUAUUUUUAAGAAUAAAUGAGUUACAAUAAAAUAUAUUUUUGAAUUUAAUAAUGAAAAAAUUAAUGAAAUUGGAUUUGAUAGUAAAAUUAUAAAGAUAAAUAAUUUGAUUUUAGCUCUAAAAUAUGU